CGGAGGGUGCAAGCGUUAUCCGGAUUCACUGGGUUUAAAGGGUGCGUAGGCGGGCAGGUAAGUCAGUGGUGAAAUCCCGGAGCUUAACUCUGGAACUGCCGUUGAUACUAUCUGUCUUGAAUGCUGUGGAGGUGAGCGGAAUAUGUCAUGUAGCGGUGAAAUGCUUAGAUAUGACAUAGAACACCAAUUGCGCAGGCAGCUCACUACACAGGUUAAUUGACGCUGAGGCACGAAAGCGUGGGGAUCAAACAGGAUU
This 256-nucleotide ribosomal RNA is filed under the name uncultured bacterium. RNAcentral describes it as "partial 16S ribosomal RNA". It matches the Rfam family "Bacterial small subunit ribosomal RNA", at positions 526 to 779 of the family's 1533-position model. The record is from RNAcentral.